This 253-nucleotide ribosomal RNA is filed under the name uncultured bacterium. RNAcentral describes it as "partial 16S ribosomal RNA". It matches the Rfam family "Bacterial small subunit ribosomal RNA", at positions 524 to 776 of the family's 1533-position model. The record is from RNAcentral.
UACGUAGGGGGCAAGCGUUGUCCGGAUUUAUUGGGCGUAAAGAGCGUGUAGGCGGCCUGAAAGGUCAGCUGUGAAAACUCGAGGCUCAACCUCGAGACGUCGGUUGAAACCAUCUGGCUAGAGUCCGAAAGAGGAGCGUGGAAUUCCCGGUGUAGCGGUGAAAUGCGCAGAUAUCGGGAAGAACACCCGUGGCGAAGGCGGCUCUCUGGGACGGUACUGACGCUGAGACGCGAAAGCGUGGGGAGCGAACAGG